Long non-coding RNA from Zalophus californianus (California sea lion), 2055 nucleotides. RefSeq lists it as uncharacterized. The transcript has 3 exons. The record is from RefSeq and is a predicted model, not a curated record. NCBI's taxonomy places the organism in Eukaryota, Metazoa, Chordata, Mammalia, Carnivora, Otariidae.
CUCGGUGUGUGUGGGGGGGUGGGGGGCUGGGGGGUAGGGGGCGGGAGGGUUUAAUGGGCAGAGGGUGCCCCCUGGUGGUGAGCAGACCAGGCCAGGAGGAGGAAGCAAGCGGAGAGAAGAGGCCCUGCUUCAUCACAACCAGCCCGUUUCCUGAGCCUUUGCAAGGGGCCAAGAUCGUGUUCUAACAUCUUACUGGCACUCUCUGACUGAAUCCGCAAAACAUCCCUUUGAGGAUUCUGCAGUUCUGGAAGCGGAGAGCUCACUGCGGUGGGAGCAGUGGGGGAGGUGUUCUGGAGGAGGGCGUCCUUGAGCUGGGAAGUGAGGGACAGCCUGCUGUCUGGCCCGGGCUGUGGGCUCCCAAGACCUGUGUCCAGGAGAGAGCCCCGCAUCUGACUUUCGCACUUUCUGGCUAAAUGACCUUCAGCAGAUUGCGUAAGUUCUCCAAGUGACCCUCAGUGUACCUGGUUGGUAAAGGAAGUUAAUACCCAUUCCCGUAAGCUUGUUCCGAAGAUCAAGCAAGACCACGUGCGGGGAGGUCUUUGAAGACCAUCCCCACAAAAGCCAUUACACUGGAGCGAACUGUCCCAUGAACACUGGUGGUGAUUCUGAGGAUCACGGGGAACAGAGAUGCUCUAGAAUGUUGAGAGGAGUGUGGUGUUGAUUUUCCGAAGGCAGGAGACAGUGGGUUCCAGCAACCACAGCCUGGCAAAGCUACAUCGAUGCCCAGCAAAUUGUAAACAGGGUUUCCACUGGAGGAGACAACUCAGGAGGCGAAGUCACCUACCCAAGACCACGCAAUCGGAAUUCGGGCGGCAUGUCCCUCUCUCCGGGAACGAAGCAGAUGGUGGGGUCACAGGAUGAGUCAGAGGGGUUGCGUGGAGAAGUCCAGUCUCUACGUCCUUCAUGCUUCUCCUGUCAUCUCACUCGGGGCCACUGUGGGCUACACGGAGCCAGGUGGUGACCGACUUGGGACUCAAGCCCCUCUCCCCUGGUUAGAGCUGAGUCUCUCUCUCCCACCACCACCGGCCCGCCCAGCUCUGGGAGAGGCGGACAGAGAAGGACAGGGGAGCUGCUAGGGGUGCCCUGGAGCUGGGGUGGGGGGCGCGGGCUGGGCCGCCAGCGCGUGGAUGUCCUGCCCACUCGGAGCUCCCGGCAGGUGUUUGCUGCCUCACAGACCACACCCCGGGGCUGAGUUUGGGCCGGGGCACCCCACUGACGGAGGGCACAGACACCCCGCCGCAUGCCUGGUGAGCACGCAGGCCCCUGGAGCAGUGGGGCAGGGCUGUGCAGACCACCAGCUCUUGAGGCACACCUGAGUCGGAGUCCUGCAGAGAUGCCCAAACGCUCCGAGCCUCAGCUUCUCAUCUACGGUGGGACAGUAACACCUCCCCGGCCUGAACCCAGAUUGCUCACCUCUGCCUGCCCUGUGCAAGUUCCCAGUGCCUGGUCCUCCCCAGGAGCUCGCGUCUGUCUGUGAAGUGGAGCACUGGGUGAGGGAGGUGGGGCCGCGGAUCCUGGCGCCCGACACCUCCCGGGCACCCUCACCCAGGCCUCCUGGCCCACAGGUGCUGUCUGGGAGGGAACGCACAUCUUCACCGGACAGAGAAUGCCUCACCGUCCUCUGAAGCGGGUGUGCGAGUUCACUCCCCACCAGCGGGGCACGAGCAGGUCCCAUCGCUCCGCAGCCUCUUGGCGCUGUCAGGUGUUUGAUUUUUUUCCGGCCGUGAGGCGUGUUCAUUUGAUACAACUGUGGAAUCACAGCCACGCGGAUGAAGCUCACGAGCCUCACGCGGAGAAGGAAAAGCCAGGGGCAGAACCUAAACGUUCAAAACCCUGCAAAACAGUGUGUCCUGUGGACGUAUGUGCACAUGCAGUCAAAGCAUUUUUGGAAAGCAAGCAGAUGAUAAAACUGAAGGAGAGGACAGUGGUCCCCUCUGUGGGGAAGGUCAGAGAUACAGGGGGUCGAGAGGUGUGCCACUGUGGGUAAUAGAAUUAUUGAUGACGGGGCGCCUGGGGGGCUCAGCUGUUAAGCGUCUGCCUUUGGCUCAGGUCAUG